CGGACCGGCGCACGGGUGAGUAACACGUAUCCAACCUGCCCACCACUUGGGGAUAACCUUGCGAAAGUAAGACUAAUACCCAAUGAUAUCUCUAGAAGACAUCUGAAAGAGAUUAAAGAUUUAUCGGUGAUGGAUGGGGAUGCGUCUGAUUAGCUUGUUGGCGGGGUAACGGCCCACCAAGGCAACGAUCAGUAGGGGUUCUGAGAGGAAGGUCCCCCACAUUGGAACUGAGACACGGUCCAA
Molecule: ribosomal RNA, 243 nt
Filed under: uncultured bacterium
Lineage: Bacteria
Description: partial 16S ribosomal RNA
Rfam family: Bacterial small subunit ribosomal RNA
Source: RNAcentral